GAGAAAUUAGCUCAGUUGGCAGAGCAUCUCCCUUUUAAGGAGAGGGUCGAGGGUUCGAACCCCUCAUUUCUCA
Molecule: transfer RNA, 73 nt
Filed under: Ruminococcus sp.
Lineage: Bacteria; Bacillati; Bacillota; Clostridia; Eubacteriales; Oscillospiraceae
Also listed under: 2 other names
Description: tRNA-Lys
Rfam family: tRNA
About the family: Transfer RNA (tRNA) molecules are approximately 80 nucleotides in length.
Source: RNAcentral